Molecule: non-coding RNA, 73 nt
Organism: Flammula alnicola
Lineage: Eukaryota; Fungi; Basidiomycota; Agaricomycetes; Agaricales; Strophariaceae
Source: the annotation of a GenBank genome assembly
GAUCGGUUAGCUCAGUGGUUAGAGCACCGGCAUAUAUAGCAGGAGGUCUGUGGUUCAAUUCCAUACCUGAUCG